CCCCCAGCAGCACUCGAGAGGCUAUUUUUUGCCACGCUUCACUAAAUAAGGUCGUGGAGCAUGGCAACGCAGGCGGGCUGGUGGAAGGGUGCAUGGCUCUGGUUCUUACCUUGGUAUAAAAACCCUGGGAUGGUGGGGGCUUCCUCUGAUCCCGCUGAACCUCUCCCCUGUUCCCCCCAGUUGCAGUUCUCUCAUUUCAACUUACUUUUAGUCUUUUUUUUCUAUUACACUCAAACCGAAAAAACUAACAUUAAUGUCCAAACGCUGCCUUGCGAGCGGUGUCAGUUGACCUUUUGUUUUAAAACCUUUUAAUUUUUUUUUUGGUGCCAACAGUUUGAUGUCUAAUUGCAAUGUUUUGAAGUCUUCCAUUCAACUCGUUACUUUGGAGGAAGCGUUCUCACCGACUCCUGGACAAGAAAUCGAGAAAGUGGAAUAUGGGGGCAAAAGGACGAGAAAGACUUGAACGACAACACAGAGAGAGAGAAAGACAUUGCAAGUCCCGUGGCCCUCUUCUUUUCUCUCCUCUCCUCUCUUUUCACUGCUCCUCCUCCUCUCCUCCUCCUCCUCUUUUCCUCUCCGCAUCCUUAAACUCUCCAUCGCUGAUUCAGCUCCGAGGGAAGAGAGAGCCUGCCUGCAGCGACCGCUUCACUCAGCAUGGGCCACCAUCCCUCGCUGGAUCACCUUUACUACGGUAGGUGUGAAAGUGUCUGUGUGCUUGUUUAGAUGCUUGUAAAAUAUAUUUUUUAGACAGUGUGUUUACUCACUGCAUAUUUGUCAACGUGUUUGUGUAUGUAAGACUGUGCUUUGUCUGCUCAUCUUCACACACUGUACCGAUUUUUUUCUUAGCUACUCUUUUGGAAAGAUUAUGAGCUUGGGAGCUGAUGAGCAUUUUCAGUUUUUUUAUUUUUUAUACCCCACUCCUUGGUAGAAAUGUUUUAGCAUAGAUUACAUUGCCACGGCAGCCUGUGAUCCCCACAUUGACAGAGAGCCAUCUCCACACAUUCACAUGAGGUUAAAAGGUUACGGGGUUACUCUGAGGUGUUUCUUUGGAGGGAUUUCUAGGCGGCUAGUUUAACCAUAUUUAUAUUCAUCGAAAUAAAAUAUUUUUUAAUACAAAUGUUAGCUUACAGGAACCUAUGCAUCCUCUCUCUGUGCAAAGAAUGAAUUUGCACAGUGGAAGUACUGCAAGUUGUCGAAUAAAGGGAGAAAAGUUAAGUUGUUAGCUCAUAUGUGCAGGCUGAAUUUAUUUGUAAAUAAAGAGCAUAUAAACAUACAUGACACAGAUAGUUGAGGCAAUCCAUAUUCUCGUUUUUUCCAAAUAUGCUUUCAUUAAAAAAACGUUUUUAGAAGCAGUUUGAUUUUUUUCGUGAAUCUGUCUUUGUGAACAUUUUAUUGCAGUUUCAGCAGCAUUUAUAUAAAUAUAUAUAUACAUAUAUCUCACAAUGUGAAAUCUUUUCGUGUGGCCACAGCAGAUCGUGGUGUGGGAGCACAUGGUGUUGAACCAGUGCAGUCCUGCUCCGUGUGCUAUAUUUGAAUGCAGGACAGGUGAGGUUUAUCAGUAAAAACGCUACAUGAGCAUGUUCUUAAUGUGCCCCCCGUGUUAAGCUCAGCGUCCAUGGAGCCGUCCCACUGGGGCCUCAGCUCUAUCUAUAGACAGGACACAUGUGUCACUCUCCAGAGAGGGAGAGGUUUAAAGUGGAAGCGAGGUUCUAAAAGUGUCGUGCAUAUGCUCCCAUCCCUCUGUCUCUGUUGCCCUCCCCCCCUCCCCCCCUCUCUCUUGCUGUCCAGGCUAAUUUUACCCAGUUAGCAGAUACCAGGGAGAUCAGCGGUGGUCAGCUGUCUGUUCAAGCAUCCGGAGCACUGACAGGCUUCAUGGUGAAUUGCUGAAGGUGGCGAGGUGUUGGGUGUCCCAACCCUGCUCUAUAGGAGACAGCAGGCAUGGUUGUAGCAGUUAUAGUAGACACGCAGCUGUUUGAAGGGUAUCUGUCUGUCUAACCAGUGGGUGUGAAACGGUGUUAGUUUAACUGUAGAGAAUACAAAUGUUGAGAGUGAGCAGAAAAGAACAAGGUGGACACAGUUUUCUGUUUCUAAGUGGUUUAUGCCUUUUCAUUAUUACACUCUUUUGUAGGGAUUACAAAAAUCUUGCCAGACGUUUGGCAAAUUCCAUCCAUUUCCUGUGAGGCUGUGUAUAGCCGUGCAGUGCGGGUGCAUAUUACAUACUGUCCUUACCUUGCAGUCUACAGCAGUUGUCUAUUUCCCUCUGGAGAGUUUGAAUUCCUGCCUGCAAUAUUGUGAGGAUGGUGGCACAGAGGCCAGAGUGGACUGACAACUUAAGUCUUUGGUAAUGUGUCUACUGCCGGGCUGGAAUGUGUCCGUGUGCUGGCACGUGUGCACACGUGCAAACCCCUCCUCGUUCACCAGCCCCCGCCGGUGAUUUACGAAAACCUUCGUUCCGUCUCUGGGAGAGAAAAGAAGGGAGGAUUGAGAGAGAGAGAGGAGAAGACGAGUGUGAUUUAUGGAAGAGACUUUUAGUUUAAUUACUGGGCGGGCAGAGCUGAUGUGCGCAGCCCCCAUGGCACUGGUUACACAGUGGUAGGAACACACAAAGGGGCUAUUUGAGGGGCCUACAGCGGAUGACAUAUUCACAUUGGUUUAGUGGAUACAGUUGAUACACUCAGAAAACAAGAGUCAAUUCAUAUAGCGUGGAACAGCCACAUGCAGUACCUGUGCAGCGGACUUAAGUGGAUUUGUGCAAAUACAAGUGGAAAAAAAUAUAGAAACACGUGUCUCUGUCCACUGAAUAUAAGAAGAAAAUAGACUGUUAAUAAUAGUUAUGUAGAGAUGAUUGUGCUGUGUCAACAGUCCAGCCUCAGCAUGAGCUUUCAUGGAGAUUUGAUCAGAUGCACGAGUCGUUCAAGGUGAAAUGUUGUCAGCCAAAGACAAAAAGACUGAUUAGAAAAAGACUGAUAUUGCAGUUUGGCAGUGCUUCCAGGAGCAGUGCAUGCUGGGGUGUCAACUGAGUGUGUGUCCCCCUUUCGUUUUUACCCUCUAAAGUUCAGAAUCUCUGUUUAUUUAUCACAACUGAUAAUAGCCUCAUAAUAGUACCACCAGAUAUUUGAAGGGGAAGCCCAGUUGGAAAAUUGUGUCACGGUAACAGCUGGUCACUCUAUUCAAACACACACACACACACAUGCAGCGUGCACAAAGAGAGACGCACACUCCCAAUAACCCUUAUAUGCUUCCUGCUGCUUCCACCAUAGGUUUCCUUAACGCCUCCCUCAGAGCCUUCAUUAGAUGCCUGACGUUAGCAAUGGUUCAAUUCAUUAAAAGCACAACUCAGCCUUUGUGCAUUUGCCUAUAAAUUGGUAUUGAUCCCUGAGAGGACAGGGUGGGGGGAGGAGUGGAGACAGCAGAGGAGGGCGAGGAGGUGUGUGUCAGUGUGCGUGUGUGCGUGUGUGUGUGUGUGCAUGUGUGUGUGUUUGUGUGUGUGUAUUAGGGGGGUGCCGUUGCUCGUGGAUCAGGGACUGAGGCUAAUGGGAGGGGGCAGUGGGGUCUCAGAUGGAUGGGGUUCACUCAAGCAACAAGGGCAAUUGAAGACACAUACAAACACACACAUACACACACAUACUCAAGCACACAUGCUAAGAACGCUGACAUACAUUUACAGACUGACAGAAGUGCACGCUGUGUGUCACACACACACACACACACACAUCCAUGCACAUUCCUUUAGUCUGCUCUGCUUUCCCCCUCACACCUGUCCUCGUGCCACGCCGACCUCAUCAUCACCACCGUCUGCUCAGCAUGGAGCUGUAACGUCACUGUAGUGUGAUGGAGGGAGAAGUGGGGGUGAGAGACUGGUGUGGAGUGUGCGAGCAGGAGAGAAAGAGAGAGAGAGAGAGACAAUAAGAGCACAUGCUAUAAAGAGGGGAGUGGGCAGUCAAGAGGAGACCGCAUAGUGUGGUCGCCUACAGACUGCAUGGUACAGAGUGUGUGAGAAAGAGAGGGCAAGAGAUGAAAGGCACAGAGGGAGAGAAAAGAAAAAAGAGAAAUUGCUGUCAGUAGCGGAGUACCAGUGGGACCAGCGGCAGUGUGCCGGACUAAAAGUUUUCAGUGUGUGGAAGACGGAAAGAAUAAGGAGUGGAGAGAGAGGGAGAGAGAGAGAGAGAGAGAGAGAGAGAGAGAGA
Hippoglossus stenolepis (Pacific halibut) is the source of this 4187-nucleotide long non-coding RNA. RefSeq lists it as uncharacterized. The transcript has 2 exons. The record is from RefSeq and is a predicted model, not a curated record. NCBI's taxonomy places the organism in Eukaryota, Metazoa, Chordata, Actinopteri, Pleuronectiformes, Pleuronectidae.